RNAcentral lists this ribosomal RNA (378 nucleotides) under uncultured bacterium. RNAcentral describes it as "bacterial SSU rRNA". It matches the Rfam family "Bacterial small subunit ribosomal RNA", at positions 30 to 414 of the family's 1533-position model. The record is from RNAcentral.
AUUGAACGCUGGCGGCAUGCCUAACACAUGCAAGUCGAACGAAAAUAGAGGGGCAACUCUCUAUUUUAGUGGCGGACGGGUGCGGAAUGCGUAGGAAUCUACCUUAUAGUGGGGGAUAACUUGAGGAAACUCGAGCUAAUACCGCAUAUGCUCUACGGAGAAAAGGGGGCGCAAGCUCUCGCUAUGAGAUGAGCCUACGUCGGAUUAGCUAGUUGGUGGGGUAAUGGCCUACCAAGGCGACGAUCCGUAGCUGGUCUGAGAGGAUGACCAGCCACACUGGGACUGAGAUACGGCCCAGACUCCUACGGGAGGCAGCAGUGGGGAAUAUUGGACAAUGGGCGAAAGCCUGAUCCAGCAAUGCCGCGUGUGUGAAGAAGG